GGGGUGUAGGCAAGAAUAGCUUUUCCAACAGUCUGGUCAUGUUCUCAACACACUGCUUGUAUCUCCAUCUCUCUUUCAGGAGGUCUUGUAGGGAAAGAGCAUCUUGUUGUGUCUAAGUGAUGGCCUUUCUGUUCCAAAAGAAUUUCUGCAACAUUAUUGAGUGGGACUAGGAAGGAUUAGCAAGUCCUCAGAUUACUUGAGCAAUGGGCCAUGGGCCUUCUCAUUUGGAGUUCAGUCUUGGUCAAUAUCAACAUCUUACGGCAAGUCGAUAAAUCCCAGUAUCAACCGCAGAAGAAGAAGUGUCAAUGCCAGCGGCCGGCGACUUGGUUUACGGUUGCCUUGUAACUUACUUGGACCAGCCGACUGCAACAGCACGAGUGGGCAGCAAUGUCUCAGUUCCAAGCCCAGACCUCGAGAGACGUCGCCCACUCCCCACACCCCCUCUCUGCCUCCAUCAUGAGAACAAGAGCAGCUAGCCUUCUGGAAGAUCAGCGAGCACGUGGAGAAGAGCUGAGGUCAUCCUAGACUAAUCAGCCUCUGGCCAAUUGGCCAACGGACCACAGAUGUGUAAGCAAGCCCAGCUGAGCCCAGCCCAGAUCAGCAGAGCUGGCCAACCAAUCCAUAAACCCGUGAG
Molecule: long non-coding RNA, 634 nt
Filed under: Mustela putorius furo (domestic ferret)
Lineage: Eukaryota; Metazoa; Chordata; Mammalia; Carnivora; Mustelidae
Description: lncRNA (ENSMPUG00000026636.1)
Source: RNAcentral